This 430-nucleotide ribosomal RNA is filed under the name uncultured bacterium. Its description in RNAcentral is "partial 16S ribosomal RNA". It matches the Rfam family "Bacterial small subunit ribosomal RNA", at positions 29 to 507 of the family's 1533-position model. The record is from RNAcentral.
ACGAACGCUGGCGGCAGGCCUAACCCCUGCAAGUCGCGCGCCCCGCAAGGGGAGCGGCGGACGGGUGAGUAACGCGUGGGAACGUACCCUUUGCUACGGAAUAGCCUCGGGAAACUGGGAGUAAUACCGUAUGUGUCCUUCGGGAGAAAGAUUUAUCGGCAAGGGAUCGGCCCGCGUUGGAUUAGGUAGUUGGUGGGGUAAUGGCCUACCAAGCCGACGAUCCAUAGCUGGUUUGAGAGGAUGAUCAGCCACACUGGGACUGAGACACGGCCCAGACUCCUACGGGAGGCAGCAGUGGGGAAUCUUAGACAAUGGGCGCAAGCCUGAUCUAGCCAUGCCGCGUGAGCGAUGAAGGCCUUAGGGUUGUAAAGCUCUUUCAGGGGGGAAGAUAAUGACUGUACCCCCAGAAGAAGCCCCGGCUAACUCCGUG